CCCUUAGAUGUCCUGGGCUGCACGCGCGCUACACUGAUGUGUCCAGUAAGCACCUAACCUAUUCCGAGAGGAGCGGGUAACCUUAGCAAAGCACAUCGUGAUGGGGAUAGAUUAUUGCAAUUAUUAGUCUUGAACGGGGAAUUCCUAGUAAGCACAAGUCAUCAGCUUGUGUUGAUUACGUCCCUGCCCUUUGUACACACCGCCCGUCGCUCCUACCGAUUGAAUGUUCCGGUGAGCUCUUCGGACUGCGCGGUCUGCAGUUUCUGCGUUCCGUGCGGAAAGUUGUGCAAACCUUAACAUUUAGAGGAAGGAGAAGUCGUAACA
RNAcentral lists this ribosomal RNA (324 nucleotides) under uncultured eukaryote. Its description in RNAcentral is "partial 18S ribosomal RNA". It matches the Rfam family "Eukaryotic small subunit ribosomal RNA", at positions 1470 to 1796 of the family's 1831-position model. The record is from RNAcentral.